This 460-nucleotide ribosomal RNA is filed under the name uncultured bacterium. RNAcentral describes it as "partial 16S ribosomal RNA". It matches the Rfam family "Bacterial small subunit ribosomal RNA", at positions 338 to 795 of the family's 1533-position model. The record is from RNAcentral.
CCUACGGGAGGCAGCAGUGAGGAAUAUUGGUCAAUGGACGAGAGUCUGCACCAGCCAAGUAGCGUGAAGGAUGACUGCCCUAUGGGUUGUAAACUUCUUUUAUAUGGGAAUAAAACAGGGUAUGCAUACCCUCUUUUAUGUACCAUAUGAAUAAGGAUCGGCUAACUCCGUGCCAGCAGCCGCGGUAAUACGGAGGAUCCGAGCGUUAUCCGGCUUUAUUGGGUUUAAAGGGAGAGUAGGUGGAUUGUUAAGUCAGUUGUGAAAGUUUGCGGCUCAAACGUAAAAUUGCAGUUGAAACUGGCAGUCUUGAGUACAGUAGAGGUGGGCGGAAUUCGUGGUGUAGCGGUGAAAUGCUUAGAUAUCACGAAGAACUCCGAUUGAGAAGGCAGCUCACUGGACUGCAACUGACACUGAGGCUCGAAAGUGUGGGUAUCAAACAGGAUUAGAUACCCUUGUAGUG